RNAcentral lists this ribosomal RNA (357 nucleotides) under uncultured bacterium. Its description in RNAcentral is "bacterial SSU rRNA". It matches the Rfam family "Bacterial small subunit ribosomal RNA", at positions 506 to 860 of the family's 1533-position model. The record is from RNAcentral.
UCUUCAGCAGCCGCGGUAAUACGGAGGGUGCAAGCGUUAAUCGGAAUUACUGGGCGUAAAGCGCACGCAGGCGGUCUGUCAAGUCGGAUGUGAAAUCCCCGGGCUCAACCUGGGAACUGCAUUCGAAACUGGCAGGCUGGAGUCUUGUAGAGGGGGGUAGAAUUCCAGGUGUAGCGGUGAAAUGCGUAGAGAUCUGGAGGAAUACCGGUGGCGAAGGCGGCCCCCUGGACAAAGACUGACGGUCAGGUGCGAAAGCGUGGGGAGCAAACAGGAUUAGAUCCCCUGGUAGUCCACGCUGUAAACGAUGUCGACUUGGAGGUUGUUCCCUUGAGGAGUGGCUUUCCGGAGCUAACGCGU